AAUCCCCCUCCCACCAUCGAUUAAAAAAAAGAAGAAAAAAAACCCCUCUUUCACCCUUAUGCCGUAGAACUGCAACCACCAGAAAUCCAGACGGGCACAAAAAUUCGUAUUGCUUGAAGAUGGACAUCGGGCGGUGGCUUCUCGUCGCCUUUGCGCUCUCUUCGGCCCUUUGUGAUGCCCGCUAAAGCACGAAUUCGUCGUGAUUUUUCAGAAAGCAAGAAACGAGAGAUGAGACAAGUGUGAAGAGUUGCGAAAAGAAACUAUUAUGAUCCUUUUUGUUACUGAAAGAAGCUAUGAUGUACUUUGAUUGCACAUUUGGUGCUUAGGGAUACAAAAGAGCAAAUGAAGCAGGGCUAAUCGUCCAGCUAUUCCAGGACAGGUAUGCGCAAAUUUUGUAUUUAGUUUUUUAUGAAAUAUCUUGCUUCUUUAAUAGGAGGAAAUAUUAUCUGCUAUGAUGUGCAGGAAUUAGUUAUAACAUCAUAUUAGGCAUUGAGCUUGGAAGAGUUAUCCGACGGUAUUUUUUAGCUUCCUCGAUUAGUAUGUUGUGAAGCAGAACAAAUGAAUUUACAGUGCAUCACAUUAAACACAAGGAACGAAUGAGGUUGGGUUGUUUGAUGAAGUGAAAGAACGUUAUCGUGGAAGUCAUAUAUUUGUUGCAACUUAAUAAUUUAUGAAGUCGGAUUCUAGAAUAAAAGAAUUAUAGUGUUCUUUCAUAUUAUUUGGAAUGAAUGAUUUACUAUUGUAUUGAGUACGAUAUGUUGAAAUUAGAAUAUCCACAUUUUAUUGAUAAUAUGCUAUUUUUGCAAUUU
This is a non-coding RNA of Erythranthe guttata (spotted monkey flower), 809 nucleotides long. The record is from RefSeq and is a predicted model, not a curated record. NCBI's taxonomy places the organism in Eukaryota, Viridiplantae, Streptophyta, Magnoliopsida, Lamiales, Phrymaceae.